Molecule: ribosomal RNA, 119 nt
Filed under: Aegilops tauschii subsp. strangulata
Lineage: Eukaryota; Viridiplantae; Streptophyta; Magnoliopsida; Poales; Poaceae
Source: RNAcentral
GGAUGCGAUCAUACCAGCACUAAAGCAUCGGAUCCCAUCAGAACUUCGAAGAUAAGCGUGCUUGGGCGAGAGUAGUACUUGGAUGGGUGACCUCCUGGGAAGUCCUCGUGUUGCAUUCC